UGAACUUGUGGCAGCCUGACAAACUUGC
Molecule: non-coding RNA, 28 nt
Filed under: Homo sapiens (human)
Lineage: Eukaryota; Metazoa; Chordata; Mammalia; Primates; Hominidae
Source: RNAcentral